AUCAAAGGUUAAUUUCCAGUUGAAAGAGAACGACCAUAGCUGAAUGGUUAACGAAGUUUGGCGUAGCUGGCACUCUCAAAAGAGUGUGUUAACUACUCACAAACGUAUUCACACAGGAGAGAAACCAUAUCACUGUAAUAUCUGUGGUAAAUCAUUCUCUCAAAGCUAUGACUUAACUAAACACAUACGUGUUCAUACAGGAGAGAAGCCAUUUCGCUGUGAUAUUUGUGGUAAAUCAUUCUCUCGAAAUGAUACUUUAACAUCUCACAAGCGUAUCCAUACAGAGGAGAAGCCAUUUCACUGUGAUAUCUGUGGUAAAUCAUUCUCUCAAAGCAAUCACUUAACUAAACACAUACGUAUUCAUACAGGUGACAAACCAUAUGAGUGUGAUGUCUGUGGGAAAUCAUUCUCUGAUAGAAGUGCCUUAAUUAGUCACGAACGUAAUCACACAGGAGAUAAACCAUUUCGUGUGAUAUCUGUGGUAAAUCAUUCCCUACAAACAGUCAUUUAACUAAACACAGACGUAUUACACAGGAGAGAAACCAUUUCACUGUGAUAUCUGUGGUAAAUCAUUCUCUGAGAAACGUUCCUUAACUGCACACGUAUGUAUCCAUACAAGAAUUUGACUGUAUUAUUUAUGAAAUGUCUUUGCAGCACACAGUAAGGGACAUUUUAAAAGCCUUUCUCCUUGUGGGCAUUGUCAGUAAAUGAUGAACCCUUGGUAACAUUCAUAAUCAUCAGGGUUCCUUUUUGAGGUAUUGUUAAUGAUGCCAACCCUUUUCGUAAGCACUUACCUGGGACACACAUAGUUUUGCUGGGCACAGGUAUUUGUUAGAAUUCUGUGUAGAAAAUAAUUUGUAUAACCAUAAAUAUUCCCACUUUAGGAACCACUAGAUUAGACAAUUGUGAGGAGUGGAAACAGUGAUGUGCAGAUAAAUAUAGUUGUGUGUGUAGCAGAAUGUAGCAGACACGAGAGGCCCGUUGAUAUUAAAGCUGAAAUCUAAAAGAGGAGAAACGUGUGAGGCAGUGCAGCAUCAUGAGAGCAGAUGGUGGAGAAAUCCAGGUGAACAUCUUCUAGAGUAACUGGGUUUUUAGGAAGACACAAUUUCUUGCAUUCUGAAAAUAUAUACUCCAUGAA
Octopus sinensis (East Asian common octopus) is the source of this 1138-nucleotide RNA transcript. It is a transcript of the gene named protein krueppel-like, with no coding region annotated. Lineage: Eukaryota; Metazoa; Mollusca; Cephalopoda; Octopoda; Octopodidae. The record is from RefSeq and is a predicted model, not a curated record. The transcript is spliced from 2 exons.